Molecule: long non-coding RNA, 204 nt
Filed under: Elaeis guineensis (African oil palm)
Lineage: Eukaryota; Viridiplantae; Streptophyta; Magnoliopsida; Arecales; Arecaceae
Description: long non-coding RNA (EGUI_LNC068879)
Source: RNAcentral
UCAGCUAUCAACCAUGCUAAUCUAGACAUCUUCAGCCAUAUGAUCAUUGAACUACUAUUAAUUCACAUGAUGAUAUUUUCCAUCUUCCAUCAGCUGAUUUAAAUUUUGUAACUUGGGAAGAUGGUGUCUACCUGAAUGUCUUGGACAGACAACAUGAUCAAACAACAAUAACGGAAUCAAUAAAACUUACCUUUGCUUGUAGGA